Molecule: ribosomal RNA, 468 nt
Filed under: uncultured bacterium
Lineage: Bacteria
Description: partial 16S ribosomal RNA
Rfam family: Bacterial small subunit ribosomal RNA
Source: RNAcentral
GACGAACGCUGGCGGCGUGCUUAACACAUGCAAGUCGAACGGAAAGGCCCUGCUUUUGUGGGGUGCUCGAGUGGCGAACGGGUGAGUAACACGUGAGUAACCUGCCCUUGACUUUGGGAUAACUUCAGGAAACUGGGGCUAAUACCGGAUAGGAGCUCCUGCUGCAUGGUGGGGGUUGGAAAGUUUCGGCGGUUGGGGAUGGACUCGCGGCUUAUCAGCUUGUUGGUGGGGUAGUGGCUUACCAAGGCUUUGACGGGUAGCCGGCCUGAGAGGGUGACCGGCCACCUUGGGACUGAGAUACGGCCCAGACUCCUACGGGAGGCAGCAGUGGGGAAUAUUGCACAAUGGGCGGAAGCCUGAUGCAGAAACGCCGCGUGCGGGAUGGCGGCCUUCGGGUUGUAAACCGCUUUCGCCUGUGACGAAGCGUGAGUGACGGUAAUGGGUAAAGAAGCACCGGCUAACUACGUG